RNAcentral lists this ribosomal RNA (306 nucleotides) under Triticum aestivum (bread wheat). RNAcentral describes it as "partial small subunit ribosomal RNA". The record is from RNAcentral. Lineage: Eukaryota; Viridiplantae; Streptophyta; Magnoliopsida; Poales; Poaceae.
GUACGAGGAUGUCAAGAUGUGAUGAAGGCGGAGUUGAAGAACACUUUGGGUGUACAGACGGAAGCUCUGAGUGAGCGGUAUUUGGGUCUUCCAACACUGGUUGGGAGAUCAAAGGAUGGCACUUUCAAAUAUGUGACGGGGAGCUCUAAAGGAAAGGUGUGUGGAUGGAAGGGGCAGGGACUGUCUAAGGCUGCGAGGGAAGUACUUGUCAAAUCAGGUCUACAAUCUGUACCUACUUUCACCAUGAGUUGUUUUUGCCUUACAAAGAAGAUGUGCGGGAAUCUGACUUCUAUCUCUUCAAAAUUC